Long non-coding RNA from Ficedula albicollis (Collared flycatcher), 2004 nucleotides. The record is from Ensembl. NCBI's taxonomy places the organism in Eukaryota, Metazoa, Chordata, Aves, Passeriformes, Muscicapidae.
GGGGGGGGGGGGGGGGGGGGGGGGGGGGGGGGGGGGGGGGGGGGGGGGGGGGGGGGGGGGGGGGGGGGGGGGGGGGGGGGGGGGCUCCCGGCGGCGCCGCGCCGGGCACUGCCCUCGGCGCGCAUCGUGCGGCCGGCCUGACUCAGAGCCGGCUGCGCCUCGCCCGCCCUCCCCGGCUCUCCCCACCCCUCGCCGAGCAGUUCGCGCCUCCCUCCUGGUCAAGAGGCUCGAUGUCACCGAACGCUCCCUCAGUCUUGCUUGGCAUCGGUUGGAGGACUGCCACGGACUUACACACAGACCGCGACUCGCGACCACAUUUCCCCGCUUGUGUUUUUCCCGAGACAGGUCAGUCCCACCAAAGGCAGAAAUGAAUGCUGGGGAACAAGUAGCACAGACUGUUAUAAAGAAAGCAUUUGGAGGCCGUACUUGGAUCCUCGAGAAUGAUGUUCAGCUGAUUAGGGUGAACUUGCCCGUCUAUCCCAGCUUCCUAGCUACCGUAAUUACGUAUCUGCCAUAACUUCAGGUGAGUGCAGUCAGACCAUCUGUGCCUUCAGGAUGCCAAACCUCCACUCCCUAUACAGCCAACACAGAGAGAGCUCAUAUUCGGGCCACCUGCUACAGCUCUAACGGGAAGCGUUGCACCUCCUUCUCUCACAUCUGCUCAUUAAUCCCUGGAACGCCAAUGUCAAUAAUGACCGCUCAGUCUGCUGUGAGGGACUGAGUGGACAGUGGAUCUGUGACAAUGUAUCAUCAUCAUCAUCACCACAGAAGACUAUAGAAAGCAUCAAAAACAACUGGGAAGUAUCCCAUACCUGCGCUCGAAAGGCUUUGGAUCAGAAGGUCUGCCAGGGCUGUUGCCUGAUGAGCACUUGUGUGUCUCCUCUUCCCAGUGAGAUAACAUGGCUUUUUCUAGCCUGGUGGUGCAGUACGCAAAAGACUGUCCCCAAGUGCAGGAAUGAGCCUGGUAUGCUUUUGGCACUGUGCAGGUACAGCCCAAAGGCAAAGGCAGUUUCCAAGUGGAUGACUGAACUGGGAAAGCUUUGAAAAGUAUGUAACCUCCAGGGAGGUGAAGCAGCGAGAGUUGAAUGACAGCACAAGAGGCAGCUGGGUGCUCCUGUUUGGACACAUCUGCCAUCAAGGGAAGCCUUCUUAUGGAGGAGGAAAACUUAAUGGACACUCUGGCUGACAAGUAGAAUGACAUGCUUUCAGUAGAAUGGCAUUAAUAUAUAUAUUUAUUUUUUUUCCCACCUCUGAAUAGCUACUUUGCUAUUCAACGGUAACCUAAAACUAAGUAAGCUAAAAUAUAAGAAGUAUUCUUGCAAAUCUCCAUUAUUCUCUGUGAUGGGCAGUGCUUAAAUAGUAAACUUGGAGACAGUAGUGUAGAACACAAAGGCAGGAAAGGAGAAAGUGUUUAUCAUGAUGCUCAGAAUGUGUCUCUUUGCUGCAGCCUUGAAAGCAGCUCCUAUAAGCUGGCAAUGCAGACAAUAUAACUGAUCCAGACAUGUUCAGCAUGUAGAAUUACAGAAUCUCAGCCUUAUCCUUUCCUCACAGGCAACAGGAAUUUUUCCCCCAAAGAAAAAAAUCACAUGAAAGUCCAGAAAUUAGAAGCCAGGAGAGAGAUCACAUCUGCUUCAGACAGUUUCUCUCUUUUGGACUCGGGGAGAAAGGAAAUAAUUUCACAGUGCCAGAAAUGCAGGAAUUGUGCUGUUACAUGGAAGCUUUGCAAAAGCAAAGCCAAAAUCUGAGCACUUAACUUCUUUUUCUCCAUAUUAUUCAUUUUCCCCUGAAAUUCAGCCAAACUUCCAAUUCAAAACUCGUAUCAUGGCUUAGUGUAUGGAAAUUCCAAUAAAAUUUAUGUUGUCAGUUAAGAAGUAAACAAUGCGAAAUAAAAGGAAGUGAUUGUGAAAAAAGGAAUGUGAAAUAAUACAGACAGUUGAGUUAGAUGGCCUAAAUGUUUCUAUUAGUGAAAAAACCAGCUAGAGCUGUUAUACAAUAACAAAAAUU